ACGCGAAGAACCUUACCAGGUCUUGACAUCCAGUGCAAACCUAAGAGAUUAGGUGUUCCCUUCGGGGACGCUGAGACAGGUGGUGCAUGGCUGUCGUCAGCUCGUGUCGUGAGAUGUUGGGUUAAGUCCCGCAACGAGCGCAACCCUUGUCAUUAGUUGCCAUCAUUAAGUUGGGCACUCUAAUGAGACUGCCGGUGACAAACCGGAGGAAGGUGGGGAUGACGUCAAGUCAUCAUGCCCCUUAUGACCUGGGCUACACACGUGCUACAAUGGACGGUACAACGAGAAGCGAACCUGUGAAGGCAAGCGGAUCUCUGAAAGCCGUUCUCAGUUCGGACUGUAGGCUGCAACUCGCCUACACGAAGCUGGAAUCGCUAGUAAUCGCGGAUCAGCACGCCGCGGUGAAUACGUUCCCGGGCCUUGUACACACCGCCCGU
Molecule: ribosomal RNA, 437 nt
Filed under: uncultured bacterium
Lineage: Bacteria
Description: bacterial SSU rRNA
Rfam family: Bacterial small subunit ribosomal RNA
Source: RNAcentral